UUUUUUUUUCUUUUUUUUUUUUUUUGGAGGCAGGAUCUCACUAUUUGCCCAGGCUGGUCUCAAACUCCUGGGCUCAAGUGAUCCUCCUGCAUUGGCCUCCCAAAGUGCUGGGAUUACAGGCAUGAGCCACUGUGCCGGACUCAGACUGUUUCUUAAACGAAAUCACCAGCAAUAAAUCACUACAACAUCUCCUAUUUUCCUAGCUCAUCCCAUGCUCUCCCAGUCCCACCCCUAGGUCUACAGCAGGGAGCAAGAGGCCCAGCUUGCUGUUCUCUCUACUCACCCACUUUUUUGUCCAAGGCUUCCUCUGGUCACAACUCUGGUACUUAAAAAAAACAGCCACGUGUGGUGGCAUGCACCCGUAGUCCCAGCUACUCAAGAGGCUAAGUGGAGAGGAUCAUUUGAGCCCAGGAGUUUGAGUUUAGCCUGGGCAGCAUAAAAGAGGGAAUAGGUAGAGCUGAGCUCAUCCCCACUCAGCCCUCCUCACCACCAGAAUAAAAGAUGUUCCUAAUGGUUGGUUGCAGUCAAAUCAAGGUGUAUUGGUGACUCCCAUUCCUUCUCUCUCCCUCCUCCUCUCCCCUCACCUCUUCCCUCCAGCUGUUUUCAGAGGCUGAGAGUAUUCUGAAUACACUAAAUAUAUCACUAAUUCACCUGCAUCUAGAGCCCUGCUUUCUGAGCUUUGGUCCUGAUCCCCAUGGCUGAGUUCGGUGCUCAUCCACAUACUCCCAUACCACCCAAUGCUCAUUCCCGAUGUGGAGCUUAACACUUCUGCAUCAUAACCACCGGCUUUCUCGUCAGUGUCCUUGAGGAGAGCAGCUGUCUGCCUGUUCUCUGUUGCAUCCCAGGGCCUACAUAUGGCACUUAUGGCUCUAGCUUCAUUUCUCACCAGUCCUGCUCCUGGCAUCUCUGAGCCAGCCACGAGGGCUUGCUGUCAGCUUCUCAGGUCUGCUGUUCCCUCUCAGGGCCUUUCCAGGUGCUUCCCUCCUGCCCAAAGUGCUCCUCCCCAGGUCCUCACCUGGCCAGCUCCUACUCCUUCUUCAGGUCUCUCAGCUUACCUGUCACUCCAGGAAGCCUUCCAUGAAGCCCCUGGGUCUAGGUAAGUGGCCCUCCUUUGGGGUCUUCCAGCACAGUCAUUGGCGCUAUAUUUUAAGCAUCUCUUUGUGCCUCCCACGUGCCUACAGAACCCAGGCAGGGCAGGGACUAUGCUUAUCUAAUUUGCUGUUGCAUCCCUAGUGCCUAGCCCAGAGCCUGGCUCAAAAUAGACCAGGGUUUAUGCCCUGGGGCCCGUGGAUUAGCUGCCAGGGGUUCAUGACGCUCCCAAAAUCACAUGAAAAUGUUUGUAUGCUUAUAGUGCAUUCUUUUUGGGAGAUAAUCUGUAUUUUUUAUAUCAUACUCUCAAAGGAUAUGUGACACCCCUGCCCCCUAAAAAAGGUUAAGAAUCAGUGUGUGUAAGCUUUCUGUAAAUACUCUUUUUUGACUGGAUGCAUCCAUCAUGACAAUAAUAGGUGAUACUCAAUAAACAUUAUUGAACGAAUGAAUAAGCCUCCUCUUCACAAUUAGAGUGUUUUAAAUUUUUUCAAUGGAUCGAGAAAAACCUCAGAAGAAACCUUUGCCAGAAAAAGUUAAAGUGCCCCUUGCUUCAGCCCUUGACUCUGUGGUCCUUAAUACGCGGCUCCUCAGUG
Macaca fascicularis (crab-eating macaque) is the source of this 1682-nucleotide long non-coding RNA. Lineage: Eukaryota; Metazoa; Chordata; Mammalia; Primates; Cercopithecidae. The record is from Ensembl.